This is a long non-coding RNA of Passer montanus (Eurasian tree sparrow), 2461 nucleotides long. RefSeq lists it as uncharacterized. Lineage: Eukaryota; Metazoa; Chordata; Aves; Passeriformes; Passeridae. The transcript has 5 exons. The record is from RefSeq and is a predicted model, not a curated record.
UGUUGUUUGAUCACAGUUCACAGCUGGCAAGAGCAUGUAGUAUGUGCAUUAUCUGCUUUCUGCCAUUUGAUACUGGAUAUCUUACACCUCAGCAAUCCAAUGUUUAAAGAAGGACUGGUAGGCCUGCUCAAUGCUCCAGCAGAGUUUUGUGUUUGCCGUGCCUUCCCCUGCAUCCUGCCUGCUGGACCAUUACUCAGAAGAGAACAGCAUCUGGAUCAGGAAACUACAUUUUGGGACCUAAAUGUGGGGGGAAAAAAUGCUUUCUACAGGAACAGCAUUGUGAAGGCUUAGGAGCAGAAAUCAGUGAUGCUGCUGAUGCACAGAAGUGGAAUUUGAGUUUUAUGACUGGAUGGAGAACACAGCAAAGAAUUAAGACAUGGUUGAAGUGAAAGGAAAGUUUGAGAGUAGCAGAAGUAGAAGGAUUUAUGAUCACUAAAGCAUAUUCUACUCAACUUCAAACUCAAUCCUAUGCUCACUGCCUUCCCAUGACUUCAUAGUUAUAAAAAGGUAUUAAAUCUUUAAUCAGAGUAAGAUGUAAUGAUUUCCUUUUUCUCAUACAGCGUUUGUAAACAAAAUGGAUUGUUUUCACUUAGUGGACCAAGCUCCUGGAAAAAAAACAAACCAAACCAAACCCCUGUAUAAAUGGCUUUGUUUAACCAAAAAGAGUGAAAUUCCUCUUUUCUUAUCCUUUCCCAUCCUUUUGAGAAAAAUUAACUAACCCAUGAUCAAGAAGAAAAUGGGUAAUAUACUGGCUCAUUCUGAGCACAGGAUCACAGGACCCAUCUUGGGAACAGCACUGGACCAGCAACAGCACAGGAGUUUCCAGUGUGCAGGAACUUUCUCUGGCACAGAGGCAGUGAGAAGGUAAAUCAGUAUGGGAUCAAUGAUAUAAAAGCAGAAUUUCUUUCCUCUGUGAAUGAAUAAUCUGUGUAGGUAUCAGGGGCCUCCAACAUGGUUCUGUCCCUUUAAACAUUGGCUCAAAAAGGAGUUCUGACGUGCAUUCCCAUAGGGAACCAUUAAUAGUGCUUUCCACUAGAGUUUGCUCUUUGCAGAGACAAACUCUAUCACCUUGUUUGUUAAUAUGUCUGUAUUCAUUCUUGGAAUGAAUUUCUGUCCUAUAAAAACCUGUAAAAUGGGAAUCAGACACUUCAGCUGAGUGAGAAAAUGUCUUUAAAUUUGGGAACUGCUAUAGAAAAUGAGAUUUUGCUUCAUAAACAUUUCUCUGAGAAAUCGGAGAUAAUAAAUAACAGAGUAGGGAUUUCCUCCACCCAUUUUGAAGCAAUUAUUUUUAAAAUACUUUUCAAAAUUAGAAAAAUUUUAGCAUGCAUGGAGAGGAAAUGGAUGUGUUUAGGAUGUUCUGGUUUUGCCUAGCACUAUAAUUUGGUGUAGAGAAUUGGGAAUGUAUUACAAUAAGGAGAAUAGGCAGUGAAUUACAGUCCUGUAGUUAAAAUAACCUUUAAAAUCACUAUCUUUCAUUAUGAGUGUUUCAGUGCACAGAAAAGUCUCAAAGAAAAAAAAACAACAAAAACCACAAACCAAAAAAACCCCAGGAAUGCAUGAGUAUUCAGUCUCCUGAGUUUUAGUUCCUAGUGAUGGCACACUAGAAAUAGAGAGUAUAGCAAUAAGACUGAGUCAUGUAAAAAAGCAGGAGGAAUAGAUGUUAGUUGUGCAGACUAAGGAGUUUGUUCCAAAAACUGUGUAUGCGCUGCUGUGCUUCCCUGAUCCCUGCAAGCAGCAGCACUGUGGUGGCCUGCAAAGCAGUGACCCACUCUGGGUCACAAACCACACUGUUUAGAUAGCGUGGAACGUCUCACAGCCAGCUGUUCCAGGCUGCCUUUCUCCCUGCUGUGCUGGCUGCACAAGCACAGAAAAGGGAAAUGUUCUUCUAGCAGAACCCUGAACUGACAGUAGGAGGUUUGUGUCAAAUAUAUCACUAUCCGUGGCGUGAAAGAUACUGGAAGCUGAGGAUAAACUUUUCACUCAUAAGAAAAAAUCUAACAUUAUAUUAUCCGUACUUCCCAACUAUUCCACAUUGUACCUCUGUCCCCUGUGACCCUUCUCCAUUUUCAGUGAACUUUUAGGCAGCCUUAGAAUGGAUCUUGUAGGAUCAUAUUUACAGGAAAAUGGACAUGUACUAAAUGAACCAGCCUAACCUUCUGGAACUAAAGAACAAGGUCAUCUUUAUGGAUAAAAAAGCUGAUGUUGCAAGAAGAGAGAAGAAACAGAAAAGUUGCUGACAGACAAAGGGGUGCCAACCCGAGUAAAAUUACGCUUACAGCAUCUACCAACUAGAUUAAGAAAGAGAUGCGUGCUUGCCUCGUGGACAAAGCAGAGAUACCAAUCAAGAGAUGCAUGGACAAAGCAGAGAUACCAGUUAAACAAUGUGUGACUGUGUAGACCAAGAUAAGAAGUAAAUAUAAACAAUGUUUAGAAGCACAAUAAACGGCUUUUGCUUGAUUCA